CAGGCAAAAUCAUCACAGGUAUCAUAAACCUGCAAGCUAAAGGCCGACUCCCCAACAAAUGAGAACUAUGCAAGGAUUAAAUGACAUACCGCUGCAUAUUUGUCAACAAGUGGGCGGAAGGAUGGAUCAGAGAGGAGGGCUUUGUCACUUGGUAGCUGUAGAAGGCCUUCCUUCUCUCCACUCAGAAGCUCCCUGUCAUAGUUUAUUCAACUUAUCUUAAUGAAGACUCGUGUCAGAGUUCAUGCUCCAGGAUUGUAACACAGCUAUUCAGUUUAACCAACAAAACAUGGUAUGAGUAGAAAUAAGAGUUGCCUUCUUCAAAAGAAACAGAUCACGUACGUGAAGUAAGAGUUGUCAAAGAUUAAAGGGUUGGAUGUCCAGGCUCCCUCAAACCCAGAUCUAUCCUUGUGGCAUCUUCCCUACAAGAGAGACAAUUCUGCAUAAGCACCACCUUUCAAGUUGCCAAACACCCAAAAAAAUACACAGGCUAGGUGACCAGUUCCACCAACCAGGGUGUGACCACCAGAAAGUGCAACAAUGUCCUGGUCGCUCAAACCCAUCUGUGUGGAGAAAACCUGCCUGAGGUGAUCAGAACCUGAUACAAGAGACCAAACCAGUAAGUCCACCUAUCCCAUUUGUACCAUUGAGAAACAUUCUAACUUUAUCCUUGACACGACAAAGAAGGCAAUCCAAGAACUCAGAUCAAAUGUUCCUCACGAAUUCUUAUGCACUAACUGAGUAGAUUUCUUGUAUAGUCAAAGAAGGAUCACACACAGUGCACCCAGAAGCAUGCCUACAUCAAGGCAGAAGCUUCAGCAAUAUCAGAGGAAUUCUAUAAUUGUGGCCUUGUUUAGUUCACCCCGAAAACCAAAAAGUUUUCAAGAUUCCCCGUCACAUCGAAUCUUAUAGCACUUGCAUGAAGCAUUAAAUAUAUACGAAAAAAAACUAAUUACACAGUUUAGGUGUAAAUCACAAGACGAAUCUUUUGAUCCUAGUUAGUCUAUAGUUGAAUAUUAUUUGUCACAAACAAACGAAAGUGCUACAGUGUCAAAAUCCGAAUUUUUUUCGGAACUAAACAAGGCCUGUACCUUGGGUGGCAUCAGGAAGGCGGCCUUCUGGCGGAGGCUCAGGCUUGUCCUACAGAAUAAAAACAAUGAUUUCAUCAACAGCCACAGCUAGAAGAUCAAUACAGUAAAGAAACUGCAGUCUGAAACAAAGCAUAAUAACAUAUUCCCACUAGCAGAUGAUGUAGCUUCUACAGCGAACAAAUAGAAAUACUACUAACCCAAGGCAAGAGUCUUAGGCGAUAAACUAGAACAAGUAUUUUAAGGACUGGAUAAAAUGCUACACACAGGUCACAGGACAUAGCUAGUUACUAAUUACACGAUCACCAUCUAUUUAACCAGAAGCUGGCCAGCGAACAGUCAAAACAUCUGCAGAAUGAGUAAUAUACUACUAUAUGAACAAACACGCAAAAUAGCAUCUAAUGCAUAUGGACCCUAUGCAGCAGAUCAACUAGCUCCAUGGCACAACUGUCCUCCUAAUAUUACCACUCUCUCAUGUGACGGGCUGAUAAUGUAGCUAGGGAAUUUUAUUUGGCAAACCAAUACACUAUCACAAAUUCACAAGAAUUUUAAACGUGGCACAUAAAAGGGGUAAAUGUAAAUUGCCAACCUAUCAACGGUCCAUCCAACCUGAGAAACAUCUGAAAUCAUUGUCCACACGAUGAGGGAUUGCAAGAACUAGCAUCACAUGAAUCCAGAAUGUAUGGUAAUAGCUAAAGCCAACAGAGGCUGGAGUUAAGCCACCAUGUGCUACGCAUGAGCACGUGUCAGCGAGCCAGGGUGUCGCAGGUACAAUUGGUAGCGACUAGGGUUUAUUUUGCUUAAACCCUAACAAAAUCUCUGGUUUGGGUUGGGUUAGGCUGGGGCUUGAUGAUUUUUUUCUAUCUAAUAAUAAUAUAAUAAAACUAAAAAGGGUUAUUAGAAAAAGGAAUCCGCCUCACCUGCCUCCCAGGGUGGAAGGGGACAUCAGGUCCGCCGGUUACCUCAACUGCCACGACUCCGGCAAGCUGCAACAACCACACAGUGAAUAAGACCAUAAAAUUCGUUAGUCAAUCUAGAUAGAAUCAGACGAAUGGAUGGGUGAUCAGAGUUGCAAUCUCAGGCAGGCAGGUAACCUGGUAGAAGUCAGCAUAGGAUAGGAUGGGGAACUGCUCCUUGAUAGGCUCUAGCAGCCUGACGGCAAUUUCCAGUCCGGCGUUGGCUCCGUGCGCCUGCUCGGCGGGGUUCUUCAUGGUGCCGAAGGGCCCCCCGGUCUUGGUGGCCACAUCGAAGGUGCCCGCGGAGUGCCAGCUGCGAGGAGGAAGGAAGGAGUUGGGAGUGGAAGUAGUUUCGGGAUUUCCGAAUCGGAUCGGGAUCGGGAUCGGGCGAAGAAGAAGUGGGAGAGGGCUUACGCGAGGCGGAGCAUGAGCGGGGCGCAGUUCUUCUCAGCGAUGAGGCCGCGGAGCUUGCGCUUGGCCUUGUCGACCGCCUUGAGGUAGUCCUCACUCACCGUGGGGUAGGCCUUCACCAUGGCUGCUGAC
RNAcentral lists this long non-coding RNA (2584 nucleotides) under Sorghum bicolor (sorghum). Its description in RNAcentral is "long non-coding RNA (SBIC_LNC003963)". Lineage: Eukaryota; Viridiplantae; Streptophyta; Magnoliopsida; Poales; Poaceae. The record is from RNAcentral.